This 817-nucleotide ribosomal RNA is filed under the name Curtobacterium flaccumfaciens. RNAcentral describes it as "bacterial SSU rRNA". It matches the Rfam family "Bacterial small subunit ribosomal RNA", at positions 68 to 895 of the family's 1533-position model. Lineage: Bacteria; Bacillati; Actinomycetota; Actinomycetes; Micrococcales; Microbacteriaceae. The record is from RNAcentral.
GAUGAUGCCCAGCUUGCUGGGUUGAUUAGUGGCGAACGGGUGAGUAACACGUGAGUAACCUGCCCCUGACUCUGGGAUAAGCGUUGGAAACGACGUCUAAUACUGGAUAUGAUCACUGGUCGCAUGGCCUGGUGGUGGAAAGAUUUUUUGGUUGGGGAUGGACUCGCGGCCUAUCAGCUUGUUGGUGAGGUAAUGGCUCACCAAGGCGACGACGGGUAGCCGGCCUGAGAGGGUGACCGGCCACACUGGGACUGAGACACGGCCCAGACUCCUACGGGAGGCAGCAGUGGGGAAUAUUGCACAAUGGGCGAAAGCCUGAUGCAGCAACGCCGCGUGAGGGAUGACGGCCUUCGGGUUGUAAACCUCUUUUAGUAGGGAAGAAGCGAAAGUGACGGUACCUGCAGAAAAAGCACCGGCUAACUACGUGCCAGCAGCCGCGGUAAUACGUAGGGUGCAAGCGUUGUCCGGAAUUAUUGGGCGUAAAGAGCUCGUAGGCGGUUUGUCGCGUCUGCUGUGAAAUCCCGAGGCUCAACCUCGGGCUUGCAGUGGGUACGGGCAGACUAGAGUGCGGUAGGGGAGAUUGGAAUUCCUGGUGUAGCGGUGGAAUGCGCAGAUAUCAGGAGGAACACCGAUGGCGAAGGCAGAUCUCUGGGCCGUAACUGACGCUGAGGAGCGAAAGCAUGGGGAGCGAACAGGAUUAGAUACCCUGGUAGUCCAUGCCGUAAACGUUGGGCGCUAGAUGUAGGGACCUUUCCACGGUUUCUGUGUCGUAGCUAACGCAUUAAGCGCCCCGCCUGGGGAGUACGGCCGCAAGGCU